ACUGAGUGAAAGAUGUAGUUGUACUACACACUUGUAUUACAUACACUCACUGAUGUAAUACACACACACACACACACAUUUUCUUAUACAUGUUCUGCGCUGAUCGCUGCUUUUUUUUCUGUCCUGCUCCCUGCCGUGCUGUAUAGUAAGGCCAGGGCCAAAGUGAUGUCAUUUUACAGCUCCUGGCAUCACUCCAGGGAGCAGAGCCAGAUUACAUUUCUCCUUGAGCUGGUCACCUCUGGGGCUGAACAGGCUGACAAACACCAAGGCACCAUUACAAAAUUCCUAAUUGCCAUGGUGACCUUGUGCCUUGGAUUUGUCUAGCCCUGUCCUAGAUCACCCACUCCUAAAUUGGGAUAUUACAUUUGAAACCAUCUGCAUUAAAACUGACCCACUCGAACAUGGAAUAGCAGCCAACCUUCAUCUCACUCUAUAUUUGGGCAAUAUUGAGUUAUAUAAGCUCCUUUCAUUUUCGUACAAGACACCACAGCUUUUACACACUAUUAAACCCUUCAUUGAUAACCUGUGUUGGAGAUGUUGGCAAGCAGAGGAUAC
Non-coding RNA from Pelobates cultripes (western spadefoot toad), 555 nucleotides. Lineage: Eukaryota; Metazoa; Chordata; Amphibia; Anura; Pelobatidae. The record is from the annotation of a GenBank genome assembly.